RNAcentral lists this ribosomal RNA (433 nucleotides) under uncultured bacterium. RNAcentral's name for it is "partial 16S ribosomal RNA". It matches the Rfam family "Bacterial small subunit ribosomal RNA", at positions 29 to 507 of the family's 1533-position model. The record is from RNAcentral.
AGCGAACGCUGGCGGCAGGCCUAACACAUGCAAGUCGAACGAACUCUUCGGAGUUAGUGGCGGACGGGUGAGUAACACGUGGGAACGUGCCUUUUGGUUCGGAAUAACUCAGGGAAACUUGUGCUAAUACCGAAUGUGCCCUUCGGGGGAAAGAUUUAUCGCCAUUAGAGCGGCCCGCGUCUGAUUAGCUAGUUGGUGAGGUAACGGCUCACCAAGGCGACGAUCAGUAGCUGGUCUGAGAGGGUGACCAGCCACACUGGGACUGAGACACGGCCCAGACUCCUACGGGAGGCAGCAGUGGGGAAUCCUGCGCAAUGGGCGAAAGCAUGACGCAGCCAUGCCGCGUGAAUGAUGAAGGUCUUAGGAUUGUAAAAUUCUCUCACCGGGGACGAUAAUGACGGUACCCGGAGAAGAAGCCCCGGCUAACUUCGUG